GUAGGUCGCAAGCGUUGUCCGGAUUUACUGGGCGUAAAGAGCGCGCAGGCGGCUGGCCAAGUCCGAUGUGAAAGCUUCCGGCUUAACUGGAAAAUUGCAUCGGAAACUGGUCGGCUUGAAGGUGGGAGAGGGUAGCGGAAUUCCCGGUGUAGUGGUGAAAUGCGUAGAUAUCGGGAGGAACACCAGUGGCGAAGGCGGCUACCUGGCCCAUUCUUGACGCUGAGGCGCGAAAGCUAGGGGAGCGAACGGGAUUAGAUACCCCGGUAGUCCUAGCCGUAAACGAUGAACACUAGGCGUUGUCGGUAUCGACCCCGGCAGUGCCGAAGCUAACGCAUUAAGUGUUCCGCCUGGGGAGUACGGCCGCAAGGCUA
This 371-nucleotide ribosomal RNA is filed under the name uncultured bacterium. RNAcentral describes it as "bacterial SSU rRNA". It matches the Rfam family "Bacterial small subunit ribosomal RNA", at positions 527 to 896 of the family's 1533-position model. The record is from RNAcentral.